AGAUUGAACGCUGGCGGCGUGCCUAACACAUGCAAGUCGAGCGGUAACAGGUGUAGCAAUACAUGCUGACGAGCGGCGAACGGGUGAGUAAUGCUUUGGAAUCUUCCCAGUAGUGGGGAAUAACCAGUCGAAAGAUUGGCUAAUACCGCAUACGUCUGUAAAGGGAAAGCGGGGGCUCGUAAGACCUCGCGCUAUUGGAUGAGCCAAAGUCGGAUUAGCUAGUUGGUGGGGUAAUGGCCUACCAAGGCGACAAUCCGUAGCUGGUCUGAGAGGACGACCAGCCACACCGGAACUGAGACACGGUCCGGACUCCUACGGGAGGCAGCAGUGGGGAAUAUUGGACAAUGGGGGAAACCCUGAUCCAGCGACGCCGCGUGUGUGAAGAAGGCCUGCGGGUUGUAAAGCACUUUUAGUGGGGACAAAAAAGCUACGGAUUAAUACUCUGUGGUCUUGAUUUAACCCAAAGAAAAGCACCGGCUAACUCUGUGCCAGCAGCCGC
RNAcentral lists this ribosomal RNA (499 nucleotides) under uncultured bacterium. Its description in RNAcentral is "SSU rRNA". It matches the Rfam family "Bacterial small subunit ribosomal RNA", at positions 26 to 518 of the family's 1533-position model. The record is from RNAcentral.